Molecule: long non-coding RNA, 1440 nt
Filed under: Sorghum bicolor (sorghum)
Lineage: Eukaryota; Viridiplantae; Streptophyta; Magnoliopsida; Poales; Poaceae
Description: long non-coding RNA (SBIC_LNC009292)
Source: RNAcentral
AACCCAUGAACAGACUAAAAGAAUAACCUAGGACGGAGGCCAAGUUCCACAGUGCGCAAGCGAGCGAACGAAUUCUGAUCCAACGUCAUCAAUAUCAAACUCAACAAACUCAAACACAUCUAUAGUGUUACGAGUAGGAAAAGUGGCUUGCCAAUAUUCCUAGAACUCCACCCUCAUAAAGAUACCGUUGUAAUAAAACAACAAUGGAGCAACAUCGCAAACCUCCUGCGCAGGCACUCCAUUAGAGACCUACGUAGGGAAUAGUGCCACACCAUACUUGAAAUUACAAAGCCAGCGACAACGUAGGCAACAACAAUAAACAAAAGCAUAAACAGAGUACCAAGUUAAUCUAUAAAUAACUAAGUCUUUUUACACUCAUCAAAACGACGAGAAUCCUACUCUAAAAAUCCUCACACCAGAGGAGAGGAUUGCUUGUCCGAUAGGCCGACUUCCUUCGUUGUCUCAGCUUUGGCUGCUCCCUCAUCCUCCUUUGUUCCUACUUCUCCAGCCAGAGGAACAUCAGAGGCAGGAACACUUGACUGGCCCAUUUCACCAGCCUUCGCCUUCCGCUUCUCAGCCUCCUACAAACCAAAUCAAACACGAUUACAAAAAGAACCAAAAAGAAAGAGAAAAAACAAAGAAAGACCACAUAAACAACCAACCUCGAGCCACCGGGACUCAGCCAUACUCCUCGCCUCGGCUUGUCCGAACUUCACCCAGAAAGAGCAGAUAAAGUUGCAGAUGGACCUCUGCACUUCUGAAGAACCUUCACCAAGAUCGGGGAUAGUCCAUCUGCACCGCCUUAGCGUGAGCACAACCAUCACGCCUAAGCAGGCGGGCGAAGAACGACACCCCUGCCAAAGCUCCAAAAUCAACAGCUCCAUCAACAAAGUCAGGCAGUUUGCCAAUAUGGGACUUCAGCCACGCCAAAGCAGCGACAACACCCCUGCUCUGUGGAAGAGCAGAGGUGCUACUGCCAAAUUGACUAACGAUAUCAUGAUAGAGCCUAAGCACAGCCAGAGCUUGAGCCUCUGCCUCCUCUAGCUGAGCCUGCACGAAGGCUGCAAACUCAUGCUUUGCUUCCAACUCUUGGCGAAGGCGCUCUGAAACCUCAGCGGCCUUCAGAGCCCGCUAGACAGCCAACUCCUCAGCCAUCUUCAAGCCAUCUGCAUCCUUUCAUAGCUUCUCCACAGCCACCUCCAACUCACUUUUCUCUCUCUUCAGGGUCACAACCUCCCCACGAACCAUAGGAAGAGACUUCAACUCUUUAGAAAGAUGAAGCUUCUCAGCCUCAAGGGUGAAAGCCCUAGUUUGGUUUUGGAUAAUUGAUGAAACCCUAGUACUAACCCCUAUACUAAGUAUGUGUAGACUUAAUGAGGUUGGUACAUGCCAAGUGAUGGAGCAAGUGAUGAUCAUGGUGAAGAUGGUGAUGACCACAAG